RNA transcript from Brachypodium distachyon (stiff brome), 3348 nucleotides. RefSeq lists it as uncharacterized. NCBI's taxonomy places the organism in Eukaryota, Viridiplantae, Streptophyta, Magnoliopsida, Poales, Poaceae. The transcript has 10 exons. The record is from RefSeq and is a predicted model, not a curated record.
ACUUGCACCACCACCCCACGGAAAAAACUGCACGCGCCAAGUCGCCGCACGCGAAUCUCACACCCAAUUCCCCGAGGACCCCAAGGGGAAACCCUACCCAUUCCUCCCCACGGCGUCAUGGCGGCGCCGCCGCCGGAGUUCGUUGAGGUGCGGUGCGCGGGCUGCGGAGAGACGCUGGAAGUGGAUCCUGGCCUCACCGAGUUCGCCUGCCCCGACUGCGGGACCCACCAGGCGCUACCGCCGGAGCUCAUGCCGCCGCCGCCCCGGCGCCCGCGCCGGGCGCUGCCCAUCCCUGGCCGCGGACCUGCCUCCGCCGUGCCUGUUCCCGUGCCUGUGCCUGUUCCUGUGCCCGCUCGUAUGCCGUGCGAAGGCUGCGGCGCCGUGCUGAGCUUGCCGGCCGGCAUCGGGCGCUUCGCGUGCCCUCUCUGCAGCGUUGAGCUCGUCGUCGACGAUGGGAGACUCCGGCUCUGCCUCGACUCGCAGGACGCCGCCACAGUAUCUGUCGUGGAGCCGCCCCCAGCCGGCGCCAUGCCCUCGUCCCCUUACACACGCCGGCGGCAGGAGGUUCAAGUAGAAAGGCAUGACCAUCCAAUUCGCUCUGAGAUGCUGGCACAAUGCCCCAGUCUGUCAGUUAACACAGAGGAGACACCCAGUUCACUUAGAGCAGACACCCGGAUGACAAUACACAACAUGUUGGCACAAAAGGAGCCCCCUAACCGUUCAGUUUAUAGAGCAGAGUCACGUAUUGGGCCACCCAAUACAACAUCUAUGAUGUCUAUUACAAGGAAACCGAGAUUGCAAGCUGGUACUGAAUCUAUUAUAGGUUUGGAAAAAGUACAACCAGAGCCUCCCAUUCAGGCAAGCUACACACCACAGGCACAAGCCCGACCUCUCAGUUAUUCAUUUCGUAGUGACCAUCCUGUUGUGGGCGUUGCAAGUCAUCAACAUCAGAGAAAUGAAGUAUGUAGUACUAUGGAGCAGAAAAAUAUAGAUGAUCCUUCGGAUGAAGCUUUGAAUGAAAAGCAGACACAAGACAAGUAUCAGUGUAAGGCAAUUGAAGGGAACCCAAAGAGAAAACGGAGCAUCAAGAGUGCCAAUGGGAAGCAGAAGGGGGAAAAUAAGGGCUUGACGAGUUACCCAAAUGAUGGGCUCCAUCUUAGGCGUAGUAAGCACUUUACAAAGCAGUCGGAAUAUCCAGGUAACAAUGAACCGGCCCAGCAGUCAGCUGCAUCUUCAAAUGAAACUGAAACUGAUCAAACUGAUAUUGACAGAAUCAUUGCCGAUCUGUGUCCCAGUUCAUUGCCUCCUCACCAAAUGCCUCGAGCAAGAUCAAAUGAAUUGGAUAAUAUUGAGGCAACCAUUCUAGAAACUUCUUCAAAUCAUUGUAUGCCUCAAGUUGAACAGUUCCCACACUGCUACAGCCAAUUGUACCCUCCAGAGGAUGGUAGUCGACCCCAGCUUGAUAAAAGUGGUGAACAAGUGCGGCCACAAUCGCCAGAGGUCAUGGAUGUGCAACAGGAGGGUGCACACUGCGGCAAUUGCCUGUUAGGAUCUGAUCGAAAAUCAUCUGGUAAGCGAAGGGGACGUCCACAAAACUGCCCUACGAGACUGAUUGAACCACGCAGGGAAGUUGACAGGCCCAUUCUGACUCCAAAUAAUAUUGACAACUGGGACGUCAACCCACCUUGUCCUAAGGUGGCGUCUACCCUUACUAUUCUUAUGAAGCAGAAGCACCCUGGGUCAACCUAUCUGCUGGUUGAUCAGAAUGGCGAUGUUCCGCCUGAUGGGGAAGUGGUUCACCACUGGCACCAGUAUCCUCCAGAGAUGAGAGCUGCUGUUUUGAAUGAAUUUCUUCAACGCUAUAAGUGGGCCCCUGGCCGAGAAGCAGACUGCCUGAAACUAUUUGAACGCAGAGCAGUAAGACAGUUUGCUGGCAUCCUAUGGGAAGAGAAACGAAGGGUUAGAGGAGAGUUGGCUUCAGUACAUAAAGCCAAAGAAACUUCAGGAGCACAUAGGUCAAAUAGACGCACAGGGGUAAACAAUGAAGAUGCUAGAGAAGAGCUUGAGGAUCAGCAGAUAACAGCUAGAAGUGAGGAUGAUGACCCAUUACAGUGGAAACCUUAUCCCCCUGCUUGGUUGUAUCCAAAUUGGUGGGAGAGAUUGUGUGAGCACUGGGCCAAAGAAGAAGUCUUAAUGAUGUCUUCCCAGAACAGGAAGAACCGGCGCUCUGGAGGUCGUGCGUUUCAUACAACAGGUUCACGCAGCUUGGCCAUGCACCGCCAGCUUAUGGUUAUGGAAAAUGGUGGGGAGAUGGUGUCAGAACUCGAGGUAUUCAACAAGACCCAUAAGCUUAAUGGUGGCACAGGUGAAUUUAUCAGUGAGAGAGCAAAGCGAACUGUGGAGGGCUUCAAGAAGCGUAUGGAGGAGGCUGGUGAUAAGGACAUAGAUCCCAAUCUUGCAUGGGUACAAGAAGUCGGUGGCCGGAGUCGUCGAGGGAGGUAUUAUGGCCUUACUGGUAUAGUUGACAAGGCCAAGGUCGAUGAAUUGGCGAAGUCUGUUCCAGGUUGUUCUGGUGAACAAGGCCAGGAGCAGAAGUUCACGCAGGAGCAGGCGCAACAGAUGAUUAAUCAGGCUCUGCAAGGGUUUAAUGAAGCCUGGGAAAUUAAGUUUAAGUCCCUGGAGCAAAGUGUUUAUGGCAUGCCAUUGUUAGGUGUGCAUCCUGAGCAUGGUCCUGGGUCUUCUGCGUCUGGAGGGGCUGUUCAGGACGAGCGUUCCACACAUAAGGUUUUGUCAGGCCCUCAACAUGGUGAAAGAUGCCCAUCUGAGAGGCAUGGCGACAACAAUAAUGACGAGGAAGCUAUGUCUACCAGCGUUUGAGCUGCACCUGUAAGCCAAUGCUGUUUCCAUGUGCAUUGUGCUGUAUGAAUGCUGAACUUCUAAGGGCAUUUCACCGACAUAAGGCAUAAGGCAUAUAUCGUCAAGAUUCAACUAUGAAGGAACAAGCCAAGUCUGUAGUCCAGCUCCGGAGUAAAAGAUUACGACAUUUGCUUGAUUUGUGCUGCCAAGCUGAUCUUAGAGAUUGUUUAUCACUUUAUUGCUGAGUAAGUACAUGCCCGAUGACUGGCAAAAUAUGUGUUCUAUUGUGGGUUGAUCUCUUGCUGUUGCAGAUGCCUGCCUGAAGAAACCUUGUAACUAUUAUCUGUUUUUCCUGGGUUUCUACCAAAGCCAUGGCUACACUGGCAUUUUGCAGAAAGCCAUGUGCUCAAGCUUUAUUGCAGUAUAGAAGGUAACUUUGUAACUUUGUAGGCUGUAGCCUCAUCAUUCUUGAGCAGUGCAUAACUUUCAUUC